UUGAAUACUCGAUGGGUUGUAGCUGGCCUCUUGGGGCAUGUGCACGCCUGUCUUGACUCUAUUCAUCCACCUGUGCACCUAUUGUAGUCUCUUACUCUUUGAUGGUCAAGGAAAUUGGGCUUUUAUUCAGUUGAAAUACACUGGACUUGAGGACUGCCAACUGGCUUUCCACUCCCUAGCCUUAUGAAAUCGUCUAUUGUCGAGAAAGGAGGCUAUGUCUUUUAUCAUAAACGAAGUAUGUUAUCAGAAUGUAGUCAAAUGGGCCUUGUGCCUAAUAAAACCUUAUA
Molecule: unclassified non-coding RNA, 287 nt
Filed under: uncultured Basidiomycota
Lineage: Eukaryota; Fungi; Basidiomycota
Description: sequence contains ITS1
Source: RNAcentral